GAUGGACGCUGGCGGCGUGCCUAAUACAUGCAAGUCGAGCGAACGGACGAGAAGCUUGCUCCUCUGAUGUUAGCGGCGGACGGGUGAGUAACACGUGGAUAACCUACCUAUAAGACUGGGAUAACUUCGGGAAACCGUAGCUAAUACCGGAUAAUAUUUUGAACCGCAUGGUUCAAAAGUGAAAGACGGUCUUGCUGUCACUUAUAGAUGGAUCCGCGCUGCAUUAGCUAGUUGGUAAGGUAACGGCUUACCAAGGCAACGAUGCAUAGCCGACCUGAGAGGGUGAUCGGCCACACUGGAACUGAGACACGGUCCAGACUCCUACGGGAGGCAGCAGUAGGGAAUCUUCCGCAAUGGGCGAAAGCCUGACGGAGCAACGCCGCGUGAGUGAUGAAGGUCUUCGGAUCGUAAAACUCUGUUAUUAGGGAAGAACAUAUGUGUAAGUAACUGUGCACAUCUUGACGGUACCUAAUCAGAAAGCCACGGCUAACUACGUG
Molecule: ribosomal RNA, 497 nt
Filed under: uncultured bacterium
Lineage: Bacteria
Description: partial 16S ribosomal RNA
Rfam family: Bacterial small subunit ribosomal RNA
Source: RNAcentral